Molecule: ribosomal RNA, 918 nt
Filed under: uncultured bacterium
Lineage: Bacteria
Description: bacterial SSU rRNA
Rfam family: Bacterial small subunit ribosomal RNA
Source: RNAcentral
AGAGUUUGAUCCUGGCUCAGGAUGAACGCUAGCUACAGGCUUAACACAUGCAAGUCGAGGGGAAACGACAUUGAAAGCUUGCUUUCGAUGGGCGUCGACCGGCGCACGGGUGAGUAACGCGUAUCCAACCUGCCCAUCACUUGGGAAUAACCUUGCGAAAGUAAGACUAAUACCCAAUGACGUCUCUAGAAGACAUCUGAAAGAGAUUAAAGAUUUAUCGGUGAUGGAUGGGGAUGCGUCUGAUUAGCUUGUUGGCGGGGUAACGGCCCACCAAGGCUACGAUCAGUAGGGGUUCUGAGAGGAAGGUCCCCCACAUUGGAACUGAGACACGGUCCAAACUCCUACGGGAGGCAGCAGUGAGGAAUAUUGGUCAAUGGACGAGAGUCUGAACCAGCCAAGUAGCGUGCAGGAUGACGGCCCUAUGGGUUGUAAACUGCUUUUAUAAGGGAAUAAAGUGAGCCUCGUGAGGCUUUUUGCAUGUACCUUAUGAAUAAGGACCGGCUAAUUCCGUGCCAGCAGCCGCGGUAAUACGGAAGGUCCGGGCGUUAUCCGGAUUUAUUGGGUUUAAAGGGAGCGUAGGCCGGAGAUUAAGCGUGUUGUGAAAUGUAGAUGCUCAACAUCUGCACUGCAGCGCGAACUGGUUUCCUUGAGUACGCACAAAGUGGGCGGAAUUCGUGGUGUAGCGGUGAAAUGCUUAGAUAUCACGAAGAACUCCGAUUGCGAAGGCAGCUCACUGGAGCGCAACUGACGCUGAAGCUCGAAAGUGCGGGUAUCGAACAGGAUUAGAUACCCUGGUAGUCCGCACGGUAAACGAUGGAUGCCCGCUGUUGGUCUGAAUAGGUCAGCGGCCAAGCGAAAGCAUUAAGCAUCCCACCUGGGGAGUACGCCGGCAACGGUGAAACUCAAAGGAAUUGACGG